RNAcentral lists this ribosomal RNA (739 nucleotides) under uncultured Armatimonadota bacterium. RNAcentral describes it as "bacterial SSU rRNA". It matches the Rfam family "Bacterial small subunit ribosomal RNA", at positions 1 to 766 of the family's 1533-position model. The record is from RNAcentral. Lineage: Bacteria; Bacillati; Armatimonadota.
UUAGAGUUUGAUCCUGGCUCAGGGCGAACGCUGGCGGCGUGCCUUAGACAUGCAAGUCGUGCGGUAGGCGUCCUUCGGGACGCCGAGAGCGGCGAACGGCGGAGUAACACGUGGGUAACCUGCCCCGAAGACUGGGAUAACCCGGGGAAACUCGGGCUAAUACCGGAUGUGGAUGCUCUGGCUUCGGCUGGAGCAUCUAAAGGCGCAAGCCGCUUCGGGAUGGGCCCGCGGCCUAUCAGGUAGUUGGUGAGGUAACGGCUCACCAAGCCUACGACGGGUAGCCGGUCUGAGAGGAUGAUCGGCCCGAGGGGCACUGAGACACGGGCCCCACUCCUACGGGAGGCAGCAGUCGGGAAUCUUGGGCAAUGGGCGAAAGCCUGACCCAGCGACGCCGCGUGGAGGACGAAGCCCUUCGGGGUGUAAACUCCUUUUAGUGGGGACGAACGCAGACGGUACCCACAGAAAAAGCCCCGGCUAACUACGUGCCAGCAGCCGCGGUAAUACGUAGGGGGCGAGCGUUGCCCGAAUUUACUGGGCGUAAAGGGCACGUAGGCGGUUCCGUAAGUCUGGUGUGAAAUCUCUCGGCUCAACUGGGAGGCUGCACCAGAUACUGCGGAACUCGAGGACGGGAGAGGAGAUUGGAAUUCCCGGUGUAGCGGUGAAAUGCGUUGAUAUCGGAGGAACACCAGUGGCGAAGCGAUCUCUGGCCGUUCCUGACGCUAAGUGCGAAAGCUGGGGA